RNAcentral lists this long non-coding RNA (1236 nucleotides) under Canis lupus familiaris (dog). RNAcentral describes it as "lncRNA (ENSCAFG00040013681.1)". The record is from RNAcentral. Lineage: Eukaryota; Metazoa; Chordata; Mammalia; Carnivora; Canidae.
GGCCUGGGCGGACAAGGGCACAUUGAAAUCCAGCUGUGCACUCUGGUGUGAGCUGUGACCAGGAAGAAGGAGUGUUUUCUUUUUCUAAUUUACACCCAAACAUGCUUCUGCCAGCCAACCCCAGAACCCACAGGGCUGUGACCACUUAGGUGCCUUUCUCUCACAUCUGGGGGCCUCCUGGGCUAAUGCGGGUCGUGAAGCAGGGAUGUGGGUACACUGGACUCGGUGGGGAAAGUCUACUGAGCCCUCACUUCCCUGCCGGCCGGGAGUGUUGCGUGUCAUGCUCAGGAGCUUGGACUUAAAACAAAUAAAUAAGUAAAAAAUAAAAAAUAAAAAAAAUAGGGAGCUUGGACUUGAGCGUGCAGGAAAUGGAAAGCCAGACUUGCUGAGCCCACUUGGCCCUCCCCACACUCUUCUCCUGGUCCUGCUCAAUAGGGAGCCCCUGCUGCCAUGCCACCCACCUCCCAACACAGCAGGGGCUCUCGGCCACCCUGGGGGCGAACACCGGACUUGGGCAUGACCCUUUCUGUCCCCAUCCUGAUAGCAGCUGAAACAGCUCCGGGAUCCACGUCCAGCCUGACCUGGACUCACUGAGGUUGGCCGCAGAGCUGCCCAGAGGGCCCAGGCACACAACCCAGAAGGAUGGGCUUUAGUAGUGCCCCUCGGGGUGGAUUUUGACCAGCGAGAGACCCGAGACACAGGGAGGAAGCGACAGAGACUUCCUCACUCUUCUCCCCAACAGGUGUGGCGGUUCUGUGGCCUCCCCAGAGAUGUCCAGCAUGGCCACGCCAUCCUUCUUAACCCACCCCAAUGGUCUCAGAAUAGACCAUUUUGUGUUUGCUUAUUCUCUGCUUUACCCCCUUUCUCUCCAUGUCUCUGCCCUGGGAUUACCUCCUCCUCCCCAUAAAGCUUUAGCACAGCAGCUUCGCCUCUUGUUUUUAUGAAAAAAUGGGCUAGAGCCAAGGGCUCCUGGUGGCCGACAGUGGCCAUCCUCCUGACGCUGGCCACACUAGCAUGUGACUUUUCUCGCUUCUGAGUGUGUCGGAACAAAGCUGUGCUUGUUGCACACACUUGGGCCGCAGAAUCAAGAGGGCAUGGGGUCCACCAGACGGGGCCUUAAAUCCUGGCUCUGUCGCACACCAGCUACGAGCAUAAACUGCGAUGACAGAUGGCCUGACGUGGCCAAGUCUCAGUUUCCCCUUCUGCAAAGAAGAUGGAGAUACCUGACCUCACUUC